GUUAUAAGGAAUUACAUGGACACUUAUUAUAGGUGAUAGAAGUUUCAAGAGGUACGGUUAGAUAAACCGGUAAGGUCCAGUAGGUAAACAAAUCAAGCCGAAAUAAUUGCUGAUCGGUAAAAGUCUAGUUAAACAAUAGCACAACAAAUAGUAGCGGGAUAAGUAUUGAGUCAAAAUAAACGUGAGGCGAGUCAAGAAGGUAGAAUCAUGACAAUGAGCAUGAGCUAUAAGCUAUAGUACCUGGGCGACCGAGCUUUGCUCGGUUAUAACUAUUUAUUGUAAUAUGGUGGUGUAUAGGUGAUAAUCUUAACUACAUUUUUUUACUAAAUUAAACUUGUCCAAAACAAUAAAAAUUAAAUAUAUAUAUAUAUAUAUAUAUAAACUUAAACAUACAUAAAAAAAACAAAAGUUAGUCACCGGGCGAGAUUCGAACCCGUAACACUCGUUUCUAGCAGUCCGCGUCUUAACCCGCUGGGCCAGACGGACAGUGGCCGGCGACACGAAAUUAGCGACCAUAUUCUGCGCCGAAAGAAAAACGCACGAAAACUCGAAAACACGCGUUUUCCCAAACAUAAGACAACUCUAGAUCGAUUGUAUACCCCCAAAAACCCCCAUAUACCAAAUUACAGCGAAAUCGUUAGAGCCGUUUUCGAGAUCACAGAAAUAUAUAUGUACAUACAAGAAUUGCUCGUUUAAAGGUAUAAGAUAAAAGAAAACAGUUGUGUGAGGUACAACUUCUUGUUGUGAUUUUUGCCCGAGGAAGCAUUUCGACAAACUUGAAAACAUAAUUAUGUACCUACGACGAUCCGAACUUUAGGAUGCGACGUUGUCAGGUCAUUAGCUUCACGGUCACAGUCGUUGCGAUUUGGCAGGCUGGCAACGUCGCCUGCUUUCAUUGAAGUACAAAAUUAUUGUUACCUGUCUAUGAUUGUUACCAAAUUGUACUUUCAUAACGUUCCUUUCUACAGCACAACAUUUUUUAAAACAGUCCCCUACUUCAGGGUAAAGUUGUCAAGUUGUUUCUUAAAAAAACUUCGAGAUUGGAAUGGAAAAGCUAUUUAUUUUAAAAUUAAAGCAUAUGAUAUUUUAUUGUUUUUUUUAAACAAUAUAUAUAUUAUGCUUUAUUUUAUUCUAACUGAACACACAUGCACUAGACAAGCAAAAUCGUGAAGUUAUUUUUAGGGAGACAAAGAAAUUUAAAUGGCAACACUCAAAAUAAGUUGUCACUGUUCCAAUCCAAUUUGUAAUGAAAUGGUUUUGUAAUAAAUCUUUUUUUUGAUUUGAUUCUAAAUGUAGAAAUUUGAUUAGAUACAUACCUAUGAACCUCACUUGCGACUUUGUCUUGCAGGCACAAAAUAGGUAGUGAAUUCAACUAAAGCAAAGCUAAAGCUAUUGAAAUGAAGUUCCGGUUUGGGAAUCAGUGAUGAAAAUUGCAUGCGAAUGGAUUAUCACUUCAGGAACCAGUCUCUAGCUACUAGAAGUAACAAUAUAGUAUGGGGCAGGACAAUGAGAUAAGAUAUGGUCAAUGCAUCUCAUUACCCAAUUAAAAUAUUUUGAGGUAAAAAUGGUAUCAAUUUUUAUACCUGCCUCAAUGGAUACAGACACAAGCUACGAAAAUCUUUUUAAUAGUAAUAAAUCCUCAUAAAAAAGAAACAC
Long non-coding RNA from Cydia pomonella (codling moth), 1656 nucleotides. RefSeq lists it as uncharacterized. The transcript is spliced from 2 exons. The record is from RefSeq and is a predicted model, not a curated record. Lineage: Eukaryota; Metazoa; Arthropoda; Insecta; Lepidoptera; Tortricidae.